CAGUCCAGGAUUUGGGGAUUACCUGGGUGUGUCUCAAAUGUUUAGAAAAAGGGAAAAAAACACCUUAGACUCUAAGGUGUUUUUUUUUCUAAACACCUUAGACACACCCAGGUAAUCCCUAAACCCUGGACUG
Molecule: non-coding RNA, 133 nt
Organism: Pelobates cultripes (western spadefoot toad)
Lineage: Eukaryota; Metazoa; Chordata; Amphibia; Anura; Pelobatidae
Source: the annotation of a GenBank genome assembly